Molecule: ribosomal RNA, 368 nt
Filed under: uncultured organism
Description: bacterial LSU rRNA
Rfam family: Bacterial large subunit ribosomal RNA
Source: RNAcentral
CUUUACUGUAGCUUUGCAUUGGACUUUGACGGGACUUGUGUAGGAUAGGUGGGAGGCUGUGAGGCGUGGUCGCCAGAUCGCGCGGAGCCGACGUUGAAAUACCACCCUGGUGUCGUUGAGGUUCUAACCUUGGUCCGUGAAUCCGGAUCGGGGACCAUGCAUGGCAGGCAGUUUGACUGGGGCGGUCUCCUCCCAAAGUGUAACGGAGGAGUACGAAGGUCUUCUAAGCACGGUCGGACAUCGUGCUCAUAGUGCAAUGGCAAAAGAAGGCUUGACUGCGAGACCCACAAGUCGAGCAGGUGCGAAAGCAGGUCAUAGUGAUCCGGUGGUUCUGUAUGGAAGGGCCAUCGCUCAACGGAUAAAAGGUA